UGUCAGCAGCCGCGGUAAUACAGGGGGUGCAAGCGUUGCUCGGAUUUACUGGGCGUAAAGCGCACGCAGGCGGGAGGUCAGGUCGGGUGUGAAAGCCCGGGGCUCAACCCCGGAACGGCACUCGAAACCGGCCACCUUGAAUACGGGAGAGGGGAGUGGAAUUCCUGGUGUAGAGGUGAAAUUCGUAGAUAUCAGGAGGAACACCAGUGGCGAAAGCGGCUCCCUGGUCCGAUAUUGACGCUGAUGUGCGAAAGCGUGGGGAGCAAACAGGAUUAGAUACCCUGGUAGUCCACGCCGUAAACGAUGAGUGCUCGCUGGUGGAGAUACUACCUCUUCAUUGGCCAAGCUAACGCAUGAAGCACUCCGCCUGGGGAGUACGGCCGCAAGGCUAAAACUCAAAGGAAUUGGCGG
This 411-nucleotide ribosomal RNA is filed under the name uncultured Pseudomonadota bacterium. Its description in RNAcentral is "bacterial SSU rRNA". It matches the Rfam family "Bacterial small subunit ribosomal RNA", at positions 506 to 916 of the family's 1533-position model. Lineage: Bacteria; Pseudomonadati; Pseudomonadota. The record is from RNAcentral.